This 85-nucleotide transfer RNA is filed under the name Thalassotalea euphylliae. Its description in RNAcentral is "tRNA-Leu". It matches the Rfam family "tRNA". From Rfam's summary of the family: Transfer RNA (tRNA) molecules are approximately 80 nucleotides in length. Their secondary structure includes four short double-helical elements and three loops (D, anti-codon, and T loops). Further hydrogen bonds mediate the characteristic L-shaped molecular structure. tRNAs have two regions of fundamental functional importance: the anti-codon, which is responsible for specific mRNA codon recognition, and the 3' end, to which the tRNAs corresponding amino acid is attached (by aminoacyl-tRNA synthetases). tRNAs cope with the degeneracy of the genetic code in two manners: having more than one tRNA (with a specific anti-codon) for a particular amino acid; and 'wobble' base-pairing, i.e. permitting non-standard base-pairing at the 3rd anti-codon position. The record is from RNAcentral. Lineage: Bacteria; Pseudomonadati; Pseudomonadota; Gammaproteobacteria; Alteromonadales; Colwelliaceae.
GCGGAUAUGGUGGAAUUGGUAGACACGCAUUCUUGAGGGGGAUGUGCCGUAAGGCGUGUGAGUUCGAGUCUCACUAUCCGCACCA